CUUUUAGACUGCAGAUUCUCCAUACAGGUAUCGGGAAAUUAAGCCUAUAGGUUUACAUGCCUUUAUCUUCUUGCUUCUUCUCUUCUUCUAGCCACUUCUCUUGUCGUUUUUCAUGGCCAGAAAGAUAUUUUCAUUUCUUGUCAGACAUCGUCGACGUCGGAGUAACUGACUGACAGACAUUGACCAGGUGACGAGUGACAUCAUAGGGGUCAGUCAGGGUCAAGAUUCGCGGGGAACUCGCCAUAAUAAAGAACUAAAUAAAUAACAACUGUGCUUAUCAUGAUGCCUGAUAAAGAGCGCUGUAGGCCCAUUUAUUUUUAUUUAUUUAUUUUAUGUUACUUUUGAUGUAUGAUUUUUUUUCACCCACUAGCUAGCAGUGACUCUAGGGGGCCCUCUGCUGGCCACGGGGCCCUUUGCAAUUGCAAAGGUCGCUUAGUGGCUUGGCCGGCUCUGUUUGGCAGUCUAUGGGACAGUCACAAGCCUACUGGUUUUCAUCCAAAAUAUCUUAAAUUGUGUUCUGAAGACGAACGAAGCUUUUACGGGUUUGGAACGACAUGGGGGUAAGUGAUUAAUGACAACAUUUUCAUUUUGCGGUGGAGUAACUCUUUAAGAGAGAGUAGCCUACCGUUGUUAUGACGGGUGGCGCUGUUGAUUUAUUGGCUGUGAGCGCUCUCGAGGACUGUGUAGAAUAGGAGAAGAAAUGUCAACACUGCAUGAUAUUCUGAAUGGGACUCCACAAGGAAGUGUAAUUAGUCCAAUUUUAUUCAAUAUAAUGAUUAAUGAUAUUUAUGAAAGAGUUAAACCAAGUAUGGGGAAGGCACUAUAUGCAGAUGAUGGUGCAGUGUGGAAAAGAGGUAGGAACUUAGGGAAUGUAGUCAAAGGAAUACAAGAAUCAAUAAAUGAAGUUGAAAGGUGGUCAGUGGAAUGGGGACUGAAGUUUUCAGUAUUAAAGACCCAAUAUAUGGUUUUCACAAAGAAAAGGAAAGUGGAGCAAAUUACUUUGAAAUUGUAUGGUCAUUUAUUAGAAAGAGUGACAGAAUUUAAAUACCUUGGGUUAAUAUUUGAUGGAAAACUAAUAUGGAAUAGACAUAUUAAGAAAAUUGAGAAUAAAUGUAAAGGAGUAAUAAAUUGCAUGACAUCAAUAGCCAAAUAUGAGUGGGGAGCAAGGAAAAGCAAACUACUAAAUGUAUAUCAAGCCUUAAUACGGUCAAGUUUAGAUUACGGAUGUGUAGUGUAUGGUGCUGCAGCAAAAUCAGAGCUAAAGAAGUUGGAUAACGUACAGGCUAGGGCACUUAGAAUUUGUUGUGGAGCAAUAAGAUCAACCCCUUUAGAUGCCAUUAGGGUUGAAAUGGGAGAGAUGCCACUAGACUUAAGAAGGAAAAAGCUUACAAUGAUGUACUGGGUUAAUUUACAGGGUUGCAAUAAGAGUCAUCGCACACGAGAAAUUUUAAAUGACUGUUGGGAAUAUAAAAAGAAUAAUGGGAAUAGUUUUGGAUGGAAGUAUAAACAAUGGGUUAAGGAAUGUGGUCUGGAAAAUGUAGAUAUUUGUUCCAAUAUGCCAUUAAAAGGGGUAUCGGUGUGGAAUAUUCCUGAACCUAAUGUUGAAAUGAGAUUGCUGGAGGAUCGGGAGAAAGCAGAAGAUAGAUAUUCUAAUAGUUAUGAAAUUAAUGGUUUUAUGAGAGAAAAUUUUUAUUCUUGUAUACAGAUUUAUACAGAUGGAUCUAAAGACCCAGUUGAACAAAAAGUGGGAGUAGGAGUAUAUAUUCCAAAAUUUGAGACAAAAAUAAGUUUAAGGUUGAGUGAUAAAAUGUCUGUAUAUUCAACAGAACUAACUGCUAUAAUAGUAGGGUUGCAGUGGUUAGAGGAGACUAAACCAAAUAGGAUGCCAACUGUAAUUUGCUCAGAUUCUGCAUCAGCACUUAAAAGUAUAUUGUCAACAAAAACUGACAGAGAAGAUCUGCUAGUAGAAAUUUAUACAUUAUUAUAUAGGUUGAACAUAGAGGGUUUAAUUGUAUACUUUUGUUGGGUGCCGGCACAUAUUGGGAUAGUAGGAAACGAAAUAGCGGAUAAGUUAGCAAAAGAAGCGUUAAGGAAAGAAUUGAUAGAUAUUAAGAUACCUUUAGGAAGAAAUGAAGUUAGAUCAAUAAUUAACAGAGAAAUAACAAAAAUAUGGCAACAAAGAUGGGAUAGUAGCAGUACAGGUAGGUGGUAUUAUAGUAUUGUUAAGUCAGUAGGGAAAAAAGAAUCGUGCUAUGGAAGGCAUAGAAAAGAAGAAGUAAUGAUUUCUAGACUAAGGAUGGGGCAUACAGGAUUAAACUCAACACUGGCAUUAAUGGGAAAACAUGGAAAUGGUAUGUGUGAUGAAUGUGGUGUGGUUGAAACAGUAGAACAUGUGUUUUUUAAGUGUAGUAAAUAUGAAGAACAGCGUAGUGAUCUUUUUAAAAAUAUAAAGAACACGUCAGUGAGUAUAAUGGAUUUAUUGGGAAAGGGUUUGAGUGAUAGACAGAGGUUUAAGGACGUGAUAACAUUUUUAGAGCUUACAGGACUAGAUCACCGGAUCUAGAGCCUGAGGAGAAGGAGCAAGUAGCUCUGAUCAUCCUGGAGGUUGAGGAGAUCAGUGUGGAAGCUGGAGGAGCUGAACACGCAGCGUCAGCUGAAGCUUGGUAUCUGAUCCUCUGGGAUGUUAAAGGGAUUUAAAAUUUUGUUUUUUUUUUUUUUUUUUCAAUUCAGAUCCAUUAUUCAUGUGGGCAAGGUAUACAGUAGGUGGCGGUAAUUCUCCUAAGGAGUGAACGGCCAUAAAACGGAAGGAAGAAGGAGAAGAAGAAGAGGACUGUGUAGUGAUUGGUUGAAAGAGUGCGUUACGUCAAGCGCUCGCGCGGAAGUACCGAGGAUUGGAAAAUAGAGGUUAUGCUGCAUAGAGCACAGCGGGAGAAGGAGACAUUUAACGUUACCUGUAAAUACAGUAAGAGUACAGCCAUGAGCUGAGGCUCCCCAAACCCGCCUUUCUCAAUGAUGAACGACAAACUGGUGUUCCUGGGUCUCCUUUACUUCAUCCAGGGCAUUCCGUAUGGCCUGCAGUCUUCUCUUCUCCCGGUGUACCUGCGUGGUGCUGGCCACUCUCUCACCCGCAUCAGCCUCACCAAAAUCCUCUAUUUUCCCUGGGUGCUCAAGGUACUCUGGGCUCCUCUGGUGGACCGGACUGGCACCAAGCGCUACUGGUUAGUGGGCACAGUGGCUGGUCUGGCUCUCACCUGUUUGGUGAGCGCUACCAUCUCACCUGAUGUUCAGUACAUAGGUGUAGCAGGCUCUCUGCUCGCCAUGAACGUCCUGGCAUCAGUGCAGGACAUUGCGGCGGACGGAGCGGCCGUGCGGCUGCUCAGGGGGCAGGGGGAGCUGGGUCUGGGAAACACUGUGCAGGUUGUGGGGUAUAAAGCUGGCUCUGUGUUUGCUGGAGGGGGGCUCCUGGCUGUGAUUGACGUUGCAGGCUGGGGCUGGAUGUUCGCACUGCUGGCCUGUGUUUACGGUGGUGUUGCUCUGUUCGUAUGGGGCGCCCCGGUGUUGGAUGGAGAGUCGGCGUGGGGACAGGGAGAGGGACGGAGAGGGUCAAAGGAUGUGAUGCAACCCUGGAAGGUGUGGAGGAAGCUCUUGUCUGUGCCAGGAACGCCAUGGAUGAUGUUCUACGUUCUCACAUACAAGCUAGGUGAACAGGGGGCUAUCACCAUGUUUCCUCUCUUCCUGCUGGACCACCACAUGACGGCCAGAGAGCUCGGGGUGUGGAACGGUGUGGUUGCCAUGGCUUUUUCCAUCUGCGGCUCAUCAGUCGGGGGUUUCUUGCUCUCUCAGUACAGUAUUGGCAUGCUAAUGAGACGUGUGUUUAUGAUGCGGACUGUCAGCAUGGUCUUCCAGAGCUCACUUCUCGUAGUGCUGGAGCCCUCGCCCUUGAUGAAAGGUAUGGCAGUGCUGAGUCUGAGUUUGCAGCAUUUCAUAGCAGGUCUCAUCACCACUCUGACGUUCACCACAAUGAUGAACUGCACACAGAGAGCCGAGGAGAGCAUACAGGCCACCCACUACAGUUUUCUGGCUACACUGGAGGUCCUGGGGAAACUGAGUUUUAGUGCCCUGGCUGGAGGUAUGGUGGACACUGUGGGCUUUCCCAUAGCUUUCGUCGUCUUCCUCUUCCUCACCUCCAGCAGUGCCCUGCAUGUGUGGAGAGCCACAGAGACUGGCGUCCUGAAGGAGCAACUCAAAGAGCAGCCGCAGUGACCAGAGUUAGCCUAUGAGAGAGAGUGUAUGUCUGGGUGAGAGAGAGUGAAGUCCAAUCUUAUGAUUCACAUAAGAUACUGGUGACCAAAUAGCCAGUGAAAUAAAUCUGUUGUUUUUAUUUGUAUUUAUUUAUAACUCAGCCAGCACUGAUGUGACAAGAGCCGCACAAGCACUCUCACUGAAAGCCAGUACCACUGCAAAUGCUUAACAGCUACAUUGCACCUCUACAGUAAAUUAGCUUUAAAGGUACUUGCUUUUCAACAACAAGUCAUCCUGAAUGGCAAGCGGACUGAGCUAGGGCAACAAUGUGGUUAAUCUAUUAAGUUUGUAAACAGACAAUGACACAUUUAUUCUAUACAAUUUUACUGGUUAUAAAAGAUCUAUAUCAGGGUCUAGUCAGGUUUGGUUUAGUUAAUCACCCUAGUCAUUUAUACAUUUCAUUAUAUACAGCAUGCAUUCACUUUAGAAAUGCCUUUAGUUCGAUGAUGCCUAAGGUGUCUGAUGCCCUCUGACACCUUAGAUACAAUUCCAUCGGCUUAUUGACCAUUCAGCAACACAUUGGGAACAGUAUGAACACUGAAUUAUGGUACUAUGCUUAGUGGAGUGCAUUUUUGUAUUCUCAAUGCAAUACUUAAAUUAAAAGGGUCAUAUCAUUGAAAAUUAAUAUUGCGUUAAAUUUAAGUUGUGUAUGAUGAAAAAGCACUGUACCUUUUUACAGUAUUAUACAUACAUUGUGGAGCACCUGAAAAUCCUUAUCCUUCCUAGGAUUAUUAGGAAAUGUAAGGAAAAAGUGGACCAGCAGCAAAUGUGAUAUCAAGAUGGUGUCUGAACAUCUUAAAGGCACACCAGCAAAAAUCAAUGGUCGAAAAUGGUCAUGACCAACUUAAUUGGGACUUUUUCGAUGCAGAAAACUUGACUAACAUUGUAAGUGGACCUCAGGGAAAAAUUGAUUCGAAAAAGUAUGAUGUGACCCCUUUAAUGACUUUAAAUACGGUACACUGUAACAGUUAAACUCAUCAAGCUCAUUUUUUUGAGCCGAUACAUGUUUUUUUGAAAUGUUUGUUUUUGUAUGAGUUGUCUGCAUUUCCUAUGCAAUAGCACAAAAUUAUUCAUGGUUAUUACAUACAACUUUGCUUCUCGCACAUGAAAAAAAAAAAAUUAUUAAAUUGCCUUAUUAUUUUUAUUAUUAUUAUUAUUAUUAUUUUAAAGAUUUACUACAAAGCCAAAACAUGUGGAGCUAUUGUUGAGACUAUGUAGGCAUAUGUGUGGGAUGUCAGUUUUGGAGGGGAAUUCAAUUUCAGUUGCGGAAAAGAUCAUCAAAUGAAACUGCAGCUGUUCAUGUAUAUAGUGCAGUUACAGUAUAUGUUUUCCAUUCCUGUUGAAAGCACAACAAUAUAGUAUAGUACUAUAGUAUAAUCUAUCUAAUCUUCUUUUUUGCAUUUGUUUUCUUGGAGAAAUAGAAACAGUCAGUCCCAAUUAAAUGCUACAUUUUAAAAAUGGUUACGAGGUCAUAACACUUUAUGAAAUAAGUGGAAAAGCUAUGGCCAAUUGAUGGUUAUUUUGUCAUUAAAUCCUCUGCUAAGCAAAGCCCUUACC
This is a long non-coding RNA of Cyprinus carpio carpio, 5859 nucleotides long. The record is from Ensembl. Lineage: Eukaryota; Metazoa; Chordata; Actinopteri; Cypriniformes; Cyprinidae.